This 167-nucleotide ribosomal RNA is filed under the name uncultured bacterium. Its description in RNAcentral is "partial 16S rRNA". It matches the Rfam family "Bacterial small subunit ribosomal RNA", at positions 352 to 511 of the family's 1533-position model. The record is from RNAcentral.
CAGUAGGGAAUCUUCCACAAUGGGCGCAAGCCUGAUGGAGCAACACCGCGUGAGUGAAGAAGGGUUUCGGCUCGUAAAGCUCUGUUGUUAAAGAAGAACGCGUAUGAGAGUAACUGUUCAUACGUUGACGGUAUUUAACCAGAAAGUCACGGCUAACUACGUGCCAG